AGGGUGCAGGGCGGAUGCCUUGGCACUAGGAGCCGAUGAAGGACGUGAUAAGCUGCGAUAAGCUUCGGGGAGUUGCACGUAAACUUUGAUCCGAAGAUUUCCGAAUGAGGAAACUCACUUAGAGUAAUGUCUAAGUAUCAUUAAGUGAAUACAUAGCUUAAUGAGGGGAACUCAGGGAACUGAAACAUCUAAGUACCUGAAGGAAGAGAAAGAAAUUCGAUUCCGUAAGUAGCGGCGAGCGAACGCGGAUUAGCCCAAACCAAUAAAGUUUUCUUUAUUGGGGUUGCGGACAUAUCAUAACGAAGAGGUAUCGUAAUUGAAGAGGUUUGGAAAGACCCACCACAGAAGGUAAUAGUCCUGUAUGUUAAACGAGAAGACUUUAGAUAUGAUCCAGAGUACCACGGGACACGUGAAACCCUGUGGGAAGCAGGAGGGACCACCCUCCAAGGCUAAAUACUACCUAGUGACCGAUAGCGUAUAGUACCGUGAGGGAAAGGUGAAAAGAACCCCGGGAGGGGAGUGAAAUAGAACCUGAAACCCUGCACUUACAAGCUGUGGAAGCACAUUUCUUGUGUGACCGCGUACUUUUUGUAGAACGGGCCAACGAGUUACGUUAAGUAGCAAGGUUAAGCACUUAAGGUGCGGAGCCGUAGCGAAAGCGAGUUUUAACUGAGCGUUCAGUUACUUGACGUAGACCCGAAACCGGGCGACCUACCCAUGAGCAGGAUGAAGCGAAAGUAAAAUUUCGUGGAGGUCCGAACCCACGAGCGUUGAAAAGCUCGGGGAUGACUUGUGGGUAGCGGUGAAAUUCCAAUCGAGCCCGGAGAUAGCUGGUUCUCCCCGAAAUAGCUUUAGGGCUAGCCUCAAGGUGAGAGAUACGGAGGUAGAGCACUGAAUGUCCUAGGGGGUAUUGCACCUACCGAAGACUAUCAAACUCCGAAUGCCGUCAUCUUAUACUUGGGAGUCAGACUGUGGGUGAUAAGAUUCAUAGUCGAAAGGGCAACAGCCCAGAUCGUCAGCUAAGGUCCCUAAAUGUAAGUUAAGUGGUAAAGGAUGUGGGAUUGCACAGACAACCAGGAUGUUGGCUUAGAAGCAGCCACUCAUUCAAAGAGUGCGUAAUAGCUCACUGGUCGAGUGAUCCUGCGCCGAAGAUUUCCGGGGCUAAAACUUACUACCGAAGCUACGGCAUCAGUAAUGAUGGGUAGGGGAGCUUCCCAUACGGGUUGAAGCAUGACCGUAAGGACAUGUGGACAGUAUGGGAGUGAGAAUGUUGGCAUGAGUAGCGAGAUGUGGGUGAGAAUCCCACAGGCCGUAAACCCAAGGUUUCCAGGGGAAGGUUCGUCCGCCCUGGGUUAGUCGGGACCUAAGCUGAGGCCGAAAGGCGUAGGUGAUGGACAACAGGUUGAUAUUCCUGUACUACCGAUAACCGUUUGAGAGAAGGGAUGACACAGUAGGAUAAGCUAAGCACACUGUUGGUUAUGUGUGCCCAAGCAUUGAGGCAGUCAAAGUAGGCAAAUCCGCUUUGAUAAUGCUGGGAUGUGAUGGGGAGCGAAAUUUAGUAGCGAAGUAGCUGAUUUCACACUGUCAAGAAAAGUCUCUAUCGAGGUUAAAGGUACCCGUACCGCAAACCGACACAGGUGGGUGAGGAGAGUAUCCUAAGGCCAGCGAGAGAACUGUUGUUAAGGAACUCGGCAAAAUGACCCCGUAACUUAGGGAUAAGGGGUGCCACCAUCAGGUGGCCGCAGAGAAUAGGCCCAAGCAACUGUUUAGCAAAAACACAGGUCUCUGCUAAAGCGAAAGCUGAUGUAUAGGGGCUGACGCCUGCCCGGUGCUGGAAGGUUAAGGGGAACACUUAGCGCAAGCGAAGGUGUGAACUUAAGCCCCAGUAAACGGCGGCCGUAACUAUAACGGUCCUAAGGUAGCGAAAUUCCUUGUCGGGUAAGUUCCGACCCGCACGAAAGGCGUAACGAUUUGGGCACUGUCUCAACAACAGACUCGGUGAAAUUGUAAUUCCGGUGAAGAUGCCGGAUACCUGCGACAGGACGGAAAGACCCCAUGGAGCUUUACUGUAGCUUGACAUUGGGUCUUGGUACUACAUGUACAGGAUAGGUGGGAGGCUUUGAAACCAGGACGCCAGUUUUGGCGGAGCCAUCCUUGGGAUACCACCCUUGUAGUACUGGGACUCUAACCAUAGGCCAUGAAUCUGGUCUUGGGACACUGUCAGGUGGGCAGUUUGACUGGGGCGGUCGCCUCCCAAAAGGUAACGGAGGCGCUCAAAGGUUCUCUCAGUACGGUCGGAAAUCGUACGUAGAGUGUAAAGGCAAAAGAGAGCUUGAUUGCAAGACAUACAGGUCGAGCAAGGAUGAAAAUCGGACUUAGUGAUCCGGUGGUUCUGCGUGGAAGGGCCAUCGCUCAACGGAUAAAAGCUACCCUGGGGAUAACAGGCUUAUCUCCCCCAAGAGUCCACAUCGACGGGGAGGUUUGGCACCUCGAUGUCGGCUCAUCACAUCCUGGGGCUGUAGUAGGUCCCAAGGGUUGGGCUGUUCGCCCAUUAAAGUGGUACGCGAGCUGGGUUCAGAACGUCGUGAGACAGUUCGGUCCCUAUCCGUCGCAGGCGUAGGAAAUUUGAGAAGACCUGUCCUUAGUACGAGAGGACCGGGAUGGACGUACCUCUGGUGUACCAGUUGUCCUGCCAAGGGCAUGGCUGGGUAGCUAUGUACGGAAUGGAUAAGCGCUGAAAGCAUCUAAGCGCGAAGCCAACUUCAAGAUAAGAUUUCCCACCGCAAGGGUAAGACCCCAGAAAGACUAUCUGGUUGA
RNAcentral lists this ribosomal RNA (2817 nucleotides) under human gut metagenome. RNAcentral describes it as "bacterial LSU rRNA". It matches the Rfam family "Bacterial large subunit ribosomal RNA". The record is from RNAcentral.